Molecule: long non-coding RNA, 789 nt
Filed under: Olea europaea subsp. europaea
Lineage: Eukaryota; Viridiplantae; Streptophyta; Magnoliopsida; Lamiales; Oleaceae
Source: RNAcentral
CUUGAAGAAACCUGAACAUGCGCCGAACAUUCUCGGUCCAUGUCCCACAACUUCCACCCUAUCCAUCUUUCUAUCUAUCUAUCUAACUGUUUGUCCCUCUCUCUCUCUGUCUCUCUCUAUAUAUAUAUAUAGACACACACACACACACAUAUCCAUACACACACAGUAGAAGUUCAAAAGUGAGAAAGAAUGUCUAUACUGAUGAUUUGUAAUGGAGAGGAAACAGAGAUUGGGAGGCAACUGGCAGGUGGGGCAUGCCCUUAUUGUGGAGGGAAAGUGCAUUCAGUAGAUGUAAGAAGACAAUGGAAAUUUUGCUUUAUGCCCAUAUGCUUCAAAUUCAAGAGAAAAUAUUUCUGCACUUACUGUUCAAGGCGUUUGGUUUUGUACUUUUCAUAAACAUCGCAUCGAUUUUUACACCGGUGAUGUCUAGAGUGGCGUGUACAGAAGCGUGAUAUGACAGUUUUAUGGCCACGGAAUCGACCUAAAUACGACAUUUUAAGGCGAUAUAGAAGAUAUUUACCUGGGACAUGUUCGAGUAAGUCGAGUUAUUUGAAUGGAAUUGUAAUAAAGUGUGUGUUUGCGCUUUUGUAAAUUGGGAUUGCCAAGAGAAUGUGUGCGACUUGUCGUACGUCAUUUUGCCCAUCAAGAAUUCAUGUUGAGCACGAGUGUGAGAUUUGAUGAACAAAUUUAUGAUACGAAGUUGUUCGUGUGCAUUAAUUUAGUGUAAACAUAUGUAAAUUUAUUAAGUUGGAUAAUCUUUUUUAAGUGUAUCAACCAUUAUCAUUUUUC